GAGGGAGGGAGGAAGGAAGAGCAACGGGGCCGGAGCGAGGGAGGAGAGGGAAGCGGGGAGGGUGGGGAAGGGAGGAGGGACGCAGGGACCAGCCACCAGCCCGGGAAGCCUCUGGCAGAAGCUUCCACCUCCACCUCCUUAUAUAUUCGAAAAAUAACAGCGGCCGCGCCGCCGAACGCCACCAAUGGGGGUGCGGGUUAGAAGAGAGGCGGGACCGAGGGCGGAGCCCGUGUGGUGGAAGGCGCGGAGGCUGGACCAGCCGGGCCUCGCCCAGUUCCAGGCUUUGGGUGGGGUGGAGGAAUUAGGGUUUCUCUUACACCCCUCGCACUCCCUCCCAGCUACGGUUCGAGGAGCCUGGCUUCCCAAAUUCCGCUUCUCAGUAUGUGGUUUGGAGCUACACCCCCCCGCCCCCAGCGAAGAGGGUGUGUAGAGGGCCUCCAGCGAAGAGGGCCUCAGAGGAUGCAACAACCCCCCAGGGUGGCCUCAGAGGGACCCCCGCCGUUUAACAUCACUCACAAGCACCGGUUGGCAUCUUGAGAGCCUCCAUUCCCGGAGUCUGCAGAAUACAGCUGUGCUGUGCGGUCUGUUUUCUCCAUUCCACUUUACAGACGGGGACAAUGAGGCGUAGAGAAGUUCAUUAACUCGUUCAAGGUCACAUGGUUGUGCAGAUGGUGGAGUUGAGAUUCACCCCAGGGAGCCAUCUUUCCUGGACCGUGGUGGGAAGGCUGAACCCAAAAGCGAGUGGGUGUAACCGCAUUUAAAAAAGGACUUCCCUGGUGAUGCAGUGGUU
Molecule: long non-coding RNA, 790 nt
Organism: Aethalodelphis obliquidens (Pacific white-sided dolphin)
Lineage: Eukaryota; Metazoa; Chordata; Mammalia; Artiodactyla; Delphinidae
Exons: 3
Source: RefSeq, a predicted model, not a curated record